RNAcentral lists this ribosomal RNA (683 nucleotides) under uncultured archaeon. Its description in RNAcentral is "bacterial SSU rRNA". It matches the Rfam family "Archaeal small subunit ribosomal RNA", at positions 345 to 1030 of the family's 1478-position model. The record is from RNAcentral.
AAACUGUGCAAUGCGCGAAAGCGCGACACGGGAAGCCUGAGUGCCUUAACUAUGUUAAGGCUUUUCUUGAGCCUAAAAAGCUCAAGGAAUAAGAACUGGGUAAGACGGGUGCCAGCCGCCGCGGUAACACCCGCGGUUCGAGUGGUAGUCACUUUUAUUGAGCCUAAAGCGUUUGUAGCCGGAUUUGUAAAUCUCCAGGAAAAGACUUCAGCUCAACUGAAGAAAUUUUGGAGAGACUGCAAAUCUAGGGACCGGGUGAGGUUGAAUGUACUUCUGGGGUAGGGGUAAAAUCCUGUAAUCCUGGAAGGACGACCGGUGGCGAAGGCGUUCAACUAGAACGGAUCCGACGGUGAGGAACGAAGGCUAGGGGAGCAAACCGGGUUAGAUACCCGGGUAGUCCUAGCUGUAAACACUGCCCACUUGGUGUUGCAUCUCCGGUAAGGGGGUGCAGUGCCGUAGCGAAGGUGUUAAGUGGGCCGCUUGGGGAGUAUGGUCGCAAGGCUGAAACUUAAAGGAAUUGGCGGGAGAGCACCGCAACGGGAGGAGCGUGCGGUUUAAUUGGAUUCAACGCCGGAAAACUCACCGGAGGCGACCUAUGUAUGAGAGUCAACCUGAUGAGUUUACUCGAUAGUAGGAGAGGUGGUGCAUGGCCGUCGUCAGCUCGUACCGUAGGGCGUUCACUU